Molecule: ribosomal RNA, 250 nt
Filed under: uncultured bacterium
Lineage: Bacteria
Description: partial 16S ribosomal RNA
Rfam family: Bacterial small subunit ribosomal RNA
Source: RNAcentral
UACGAAGGGGGCUAGCGUUGUUCGGAAUCACUGGGCGUAAAGCGUGCGCAGGCUGAUCUACAAGUCAGGGGUGAAAUCCCAGAGCUUAACUCUGGAAUUGCCUUUGAGACUGUAGAUCUCGAGUCCGUGAGAGGGUGGCGGAAUUCCCAGUGUAGAGGUGAAAUUCGUAGAUAUUGGGAGGAACACCAGUGGCGUAGGCGGCCACCUGGCACGGUACUGACGCUCAUGCACGAAAGCGUGGGGAUCAAAC